ACUCUACAGUCUAUGCGUUUAGUUACCUUGUCGACUUUGAUACCAGGGACAAUGUUCUGCUCGACGAGGACGUCGACCAUUUUCUUGCCUUCGGUGGUAGACUGGUACAGAGUCUCCUCAAAUAGAAUUGCGCCGGAGACGUACUGUCCGAGUCCCGGUGCAGAGACCAGCAAAGUCCGGAAAGCUUGACGAUUUGCCUCAGUGUUCUCUAGCCCUAUCGAAUCCAAACGUUUCCCGCAAGUCGCGUUUGACUCGUCCAUCGCCAAGAUUCCACGUCCGGGAGACGCAA
Molecule: small RNA, 289 nt
Filed under: Arabidopsis thaliana (thale cress)
Lineage: Eukaryota; Viridiplantae; Streptophyta; Magnoliopsida; Brassicales; Brassicaceae
Description: ATSL238660
Source: RNAcentral